AAGGAUUUAAGUUAAAUAAACUAUUAACCUUCAAAGUUAAAAUUACUUAAAUUAAAAAGUAAGCCUUA
This 68-nucleotide transfer RNA is filed under the name Neoalcathous huangshanana. Its description in RNAcentral is "tRNA-Trp". Lineage: Eukaryota; Metazoa; Arthropoda; Insecta; Hemiptera; Fulgoridae. The record is from RNAcentral.